AGUGAACGCUGGCGGCAGGCCUAACACAUGCAAGUCGAACGGCAGCACAGGGGUAGCAAUACCCUGGGUGGCGAGUGGCGGACGGGUGAGGAAUACGUCGGAAUCUGCCUAUUUGUGGGGGAUAACGUAGGGAAACUUACGCUAAUACCGCAUACGACCUACGGGUGAAAGCGGAGGACCUUCGGGCUUCGCGCAGAUAGAUGAGCCGACGUCGGAUUAGCUAGUGGCGGGGAAAGGCCCACCAAGGCGACGAUCCGUAGCUGGUCUGAGAGGAUGAUCAGCCACACUGGAACUGAGACACGGUCCAGACUCCUACGGGAGGCAGCAGUGGGGAAUAUUGGACAAUGGGCGCAAGCCUGA
RNAcentral lists this ribosomal RNA (360 nucleotides) under uncultured bacterium. RNAcentral's name for it is "bacterial SSU rRNA". It matches the Rfam family "Bacterial small subunit ribosomal RNA", at positions 29 to 386 of the family's 1533-position model. The record is from RNAcentral.